UGGGGAAUAUUGCACAAUGGGCGCAAGCCUGAUGCAGCCAUGCCGCGUGUAUGAAGAAGGCCUUCGGGUUGUAAAGUACUUUCAGCGGGGAGGAAGGUGUUGUGGUUAAUAACCGCAGCAAUUGACGUUACCCGCAGAAGAAGCACCGGCUAACUCCGUGCCAGCAGCCGCGGUAAUACGGAGGAUCCGAGCGUUAUCCGGAUUUAUUGGGUUUAAAGGGUGCGUAGGCGGAAAGAUAAGUCAGCCUGUGAAAGUUUGCGGCUCAACCGUAAAAUUGCAGUUGAUACUGUUUUUCUUGAGUGUACAUAAGGUAGGCGGAAUUCGUGGUGUAGCGGUGAAAUGCUUAGAUAUCACGAAGAACUCCGAUUGCGAAGGCAGCUUACCGGGGUACAACUGACGCUGAUGCACGAAAGUGUGGGUAUCAAACA
Molecule: ribosomal RNA, 428 nt
Filed under: uncultured bacterium
Lineage: Bacteria
Description: bacterial SSU rRNA
Rfam family: Bacterial small subunit ribosomal RNA
Source: RNAcentral